Schizosaccharomyces pombe (fission yeast) is the source of this 355-nucleotide non-coding RNA. NCBI's taxonomy places the organism in Eukaryota, Fungi, Ascomycota, Schizosaccharomycetes, Schizosaccharomycetales, Schizosaccharomycetaceae. The record is from the annotation of a GenBank genome assembly.
CGUCUAUAUACAUAGAUACCCGUUGAUAACGCGAAUGAGCCGUUCGGCUUCUUAGUUCGUAGAUCCGAGAUUUCGAACUGCUUUUAGGCAGUAAAUGAUAGCUUUUCCAUCUAACUGACUCUAAAAUCACACUCCCUUGUUACUGGACCCACAUUAGCGAUAGCGGAUACAAAAAUGCAGGGAAUUGAAAGACCGAGUUCGUGGCCUAUUGAGAGAAAAUGGAACUUCCCUUCCCAAAAGCACCUUUGACCUGCAGAAAAAUUAGGCCAAUUAUUAUGAUGCCAAGUCUGGAAAAACACCACAGGUUCGGUAUAUUAUUAUUGUCAAUAUUGUUAUACUGAGUUAGUUUUUUUUU